This is a small RNA of 284 nucleotides. It matches the Rfam family "5' ureB small RNA".
UCGUCCAUGAUCUGCGGGCAGAUGAAGUGGACGUGGCAGUCGAUGCCGCCGGCAGUGAGGAUCUUGCCGUUGCCGGCGAUGAUCUCGGUGGACGGGCCGAUCACCAGAUCGGGAUGGAUCCCGUUCAUGGUGUCGGGGUUGCCGGCCUUGCCGAGGGCGACGAUGCGGCCGUCACGCAGUCCGACGUCGGCCUUGAUCACGCCCCAGUGGUCGAGCACCACGACGCCGGUGAUCACGGUGUCGGGGGCGCCGUCGGCGCGGGAGGCGCGGCUCUGCCCCAUCGA